Molecule: ribosomal RNA, 1826 nt
Filed under: Staphylococcus aureus
Lineage: Bacteria; Bacillati; Bacillota; Bacilli; Caryophanales; Staphylococcaceae
Description: partial 23S ribosomal RNA
Rfam family: Bacterial large subunit ribosomal RNA
Source: RNAcentral
GGUGAAAAGCACCCCGGAAGGGGAGUGAAAUAGAACCUGAAACCGUGUGCUUACAAGUAGUCAGAGCCCGUUAAUGGGUGAUGGCGUGCCUUUUGUAGAAUGAACCGGCGAGUUACGAUUUGAUGCAAGGUUAAGCAGUAAAUGUGGAGCCGUAGCGAAAGCGAGUCUGAAUAGGGCGUUUAGUAUUUGGUCGUAGACCCGAAACCAGGUGAUCUACCCUUGGUCAGGUUGAAGUUCAGGUAACACUGAAUGGAGGACCGAACCGACUUACGUUGAAAAGUGAGCGGAUGAACUGAGGGUAGCGGAGAAAUUCCAAUCGAACCUGGAGAUAGCUGGUUCUCUCCGAAAUAGCUUUAGGGCUAGCCUCAAGUGAUGAUUAUUGGAGGUAGAGCACUGUUUGGACGAGGGGCCCCUCUCGGGUUACCGAAUUCAGACAAACUCCGAAUGCCAAUUAAUUUAACUUGGGAGUCAGAACAUGGGUGAUAAGGUCCGUGUUCGAAAGGGAAACAGCCCAGACCACCAGCUAAGGUCCCAAAAUAUAUGUUAAGUGGAAAAGGAUGUGGCGUUGCCCAGACAACUAGGAUGUUGGCUUAGAAGCAGCCAUCAUUUAAAGAGUGCGUAAUAGCUCACUAGUCGAGUGACACUGCGCCGAAAAUGUACCGGGGCUAAACAUAUUACCGAAGCUGUGGAUUGUCCUUUGGACAAUGGUAGGAGAGCGUUCUAAGGGCGUUGAAGCAUGAUCGUAAGGACAUGUGGAGCGCUUAGAAGUGAGAAUGCCGGUGUGAGUAGCGAAAGACGGGUGAGAAUCCCGUCCACCGAUUGACUAAGGUUUCCAGAGGAAGGCUCGUCCGCUCUGGGUUAGUCGGGUCCUAAGCUGAGGCCGACAGGCGUAGGCGAUGGAUAACAGGUUGAUAUUCCUGUACCACCUAUAAUCGUUUUAAUCGAUGGGGGGACGCAGUAGGAUAGGCGAAGCGUGCGAUUGGAUUGCACGUCUAAGCAGUAAGGCUGAGUAUUAGGCAAAUCCGGUACUCAUUAAGGCUGAGCUGUGAUGGGGAGAAGACAUUGUGUCUUCGAGUCGUUGAUUUCACACUGCCGAGAAAAGCCUCUAGAUAGAAAAUAGGUGCCCGUACCGCAAACCGACACAGGUAGUCAAGAUGAGAAUUCUAAGGUGAGCGAGCGAACUCUCGUUAAGGAACUCGGCAAAAUGACCCCGUAACUUCGGGAGAAGGGGUGCUCUUUAGGGUUAACGCCCAGAAGAGCCGCAGUGAAUAGGCCCAAGCGACUGUUUAUCAAAAACACAGGUCUCUGCUAAACCGUAAGGUGAUGUAUAGGGGCUGACGCCUGCCCGGUGCUGGAAGGUUAAGAGGAGUGGUUAGCUUCUGCGAAGCUACGAAUCGAAGCCCCAGUAAACGGCGGCCGUAACUAUAACGGUCCUAAGGUAGCGAAAUUCCUUGUCGGGUAAGUUCCGACCCGCACGAAAGGCGUAACGAUUUGGGCACUGUCUCAACGAGAGACUCGGUGAAAUCAUAGUACCUGUGAAGAUGCAGGUUACCCGCGACAGGACGGAAAGACCCCGUGGAGCUUUACUGUAGCCUGAUAUUGAAAUUCGGCACAGCUUGUACAGGAUAGGUAGGAGCCUUUGAAACGUGAGCGCUAGCUUACGUGGAGGCGCUGGUGGGAUACUACCCUAGCUGUGUUGGCUUUCUAACCCGCACCACUUAUCGUGGUGGGAGACAGUGUCAGGCGGGCAGUUUGACUGGGGCGGUCGCCUCCUAAAAGGUAACGGAGGCGCUCAAAGGUUCCCUCAGAAUGGUUGGAAAUCAUUC